GGCGGGUUAGCUCAGUGGUAGAGCAGGCCGGUUGAUGGCGACGUCAUCCGGAUAGUUACUGCGGGUCUUUGACCGACAGUAAAGCGCAGGUUCGAUUCCUGCGCCCGCCC
Molecule: transfer RNA, 110 nt
Filed under: Agrobacterium fabrum
Lineage: Bacteria; Pseudomonadati; Pseudomonadota; Alphaproteobacteria; Hyphomicrobiales; Rhizobiaceae
Description: tRNA-OTHER
Rfam family: tRNA
About the family: Transfer RNA (tRNA) molecules are approximately 80 nucleotides in length. Their secondary structure includes four short double-helical elements and three loops (D, anti-codon, and T loops).
Source: RNAcentral